ACGACCAUAUCACGUUGAAACACCAGUCCCCGUACUAUCACCGAAGUUAAGCAACGUUAAGCCUGCUCAGUGCCUAGAUGGUUGACUGCUUGGAAAUACCAGGAGCUGUAAG
Molecule: non-coding RNA, 112 nt
Organism: Acanthosepion pharaonis
Lineage: Eukaryota; Metazoa; Mollusca; Cephalopoda; Sepiida; Sepiidae
Source: the annotation of a GenBank genome assembly